RNAcentral lists this ribosomal RNA (253 nucleotides) under uncultured bacterium. RNAcentral's name for it is "partial 16S ribosomal RNA". It matches the Rfam family "Bacterial small subunit ribosomal RNA", at positions 524 to 776 of the family's 1533-position model. The record is from RNAcentral.
GACGAACCGAGCGAACGUUAUUCGGAAUCACUGGGCUUAAAGGGCGCGUAGGCGGCUUGCCAAGUCAGGGGUGAAAUCUUUCGGCUCAACCGGAAAAGUGCUUCUGAUACUGGCGGGCUGGAGGGGGGUAGGGGCAGAUGGAACUUCCGGUGGAGCGGUGAAAUGCGUAGAUAUCGGAAGGAACGCCGGUGGCGAAAGCGAUCUGCUGGACCCCUUCUGACGCUGAGGCGCGAAAGCCAGGGGAGCGAACGGG